Molecule: ribosomal RNA, 253 nt
Filed under: uncultured bacterium
Lineage: Bacteria
Description: partial 16S ribosomal RNA
Rfam family: Bacterial small subunit ribosomal RNA
Source: RNAcentral
UACGAAGGGGGCUAGCGUUGUUCGGAAUUACUGGGCGUAAAGCGCACGUAGGCGGAUUGGCAAGUCAGGGGUGAAAUCCCGGGGCUCAACCUCGGAACUGCCUUUGAUACUGCCAGUCUAGAGUCCGGAAGAGGUGGGUGGAAUUCCUAGUGUAGAGGUGAAAUUCGCAGAUAUCAGGAAGAACACCGGUGGCGAAGGCGGCCCACUGGUCCGGAACUGACGCUGAGGUGCGAAAGCGUGGGGAGCAAACAGG